AGUGAACGCUGGCGGUAGGCCUAACACAUGCAAGUCGAACGGCAGCACAGUAAGAGCUUGCUCUUACGGGUGGCGAGUGGCGGACGGGUGAGGAAUACAUCGGAAUCUACUUUUUCGUGGGGGAUAACGUAGGGAAACUUACGCUAAUACCGCAUACGACCUACGGGUGAAAGCAGGGGAUCUUCGGACCUUGCGCGAUUGAAUGAGCCGAUGUCGGAUUAGCUAGUUGGCGGGGUAAAGGCCCACCAAGGCGACGAUCCGUAGCUGGUCUGAGAGGAUGACCACCCAAACUGGACAUGGGCAAGGGUCCAGCCUCCUACGGGAGGAAGCAGUGGGGAAUUUUGGAAAAUGGGGGCAAGCCUGAUCCAGCCAUACCGGGUGGGUGAAGAAGGCCUUCGGGUUGUAAAGCCCUUUUUUUGGGAAAAAAAAGCAGCAGGUUAAAACCCCGCUGUUCUGACGGUACCCAAAAAAUAAGCACCGGCUAACUUCGU
Molecule: ribosomal RNA, 491 nt
Filed under: uncultured bacterium
Lineage: Bacteria
Description: partial 16S ribosomal RNA
Rfam family: Bacterial small subunit ribosomal RNA
Source: RNAcentral